RNAcentral lists this ribosomal RNA (114 nucleotides) under Zygoascus hellenicus. Its description in RNAcentral is "5.8S ribosomal RNA". It matches the Rfam family "5.8S ribosomal RNA", at positions 1 to 114 of the family's 154-position model. Rfam says of the family: 5.8S ribosomal RNA (5.8S rRNA) is a component of the large subunit of the eukaryotic ribosome. The record is from RNAcentral. Lineage: Eukaryota; Fungi; Ascomycota; Dipodascomycetes; Dipodascales; Trichomonascaceae.
AAAACUUUCAACAACGGAUCUCUUGGUUCUCGCAUCGAUGAAGAACGCAGCAAAAUGCGAUAAGUAAUGUGAAUUGCAGAAUUGUGAAUCAUCGAAUCUUUGAACGCACAUUGC